This 464-nucleotide ribosomal RNA is filed under the name uncultured bacterium. RNAcentral describes it as "partial 16S ribosomal RNA". It matches the Rfam family "Bacterial small subunit ribosomal RNA", at positions 339 to 795 of the family's 1533-position model. The record is from RNAcentral.
CUACGGGUUGCAGCAGUGAGGAAUUUUGCGCAAUGGGGGAAACCCUGACGCAGCAACGCCGCGUGAGCGAAGAAGGCCCUCGGGUCGUAAAGCUCUGUCAAGUGGGAAAAAAAUCUUUUGAUCAAUAGUCAAAAGACUUGAUGGUACCACUGGAGGAAGCACCGGCUAACUCCGUGCCAGCAGCCGCGGUAAUACGGAGGGUGCAAGCGUUGUUCGGAUUUACUGGGCGUAAAGGGCGUGUAGGCGGUUUAGCAAGUCGGAUGUGAAAGCCCUGGGCUCAACCCGGGAAGUGCAUUUGAAACUGCUUGUCUAGAGUAUGGAAGAGGAGAUUGGAAUUCCUGGUGUAGAGGUGAAAUUCGUAGAUAUCAGGAGGAACACCCGUGGCGAAGGCGAUUCUCUGGACCAAUACUGACGCUGAGACGCGAAAGCGUGGGGAGCAAACAGGAUUAGAUACCCCAGUAGUC